GGGGGCGUAGCUCAGCGGCAGAGCAUCGGACUCUUAAUCCGUGUGUCGUGGGUUCGAAUCCCACCGCCCUCACCA
This 75-nucleotide transfer RNA is filed under the name candidate division WWE3 bacterium. Its description in RNAcentral is "tRNA-Lys". It matches the Rfam family "tRNA". Rfam says of the family: Transfer RNA (tRNA) molecules are approximately 80 nucleotides in length. Their secondary structure includes four short double-helical elements and three loops (D, anti-codon, and T loops). The record is from RNAcentral. Lineage: Bacteria; candidate division WWE3.